This 374-nucleotide ribosomal RNA is filed under the name uncultured organism. Its description in RNAcentral is "bacterial SSU rRNA". It matches the Rfam family "Bacterial small subunit ribosomal RNA", at positions 526 to 896 of the family's 1533-position model. The record is from RNAcentral.
CAGAGGGUGCGAGCGUUGUUCGGAAUUACUGGGCGUAAAGCGCGCGCAGGCGGUCCUUUAAGUCUACCCGUGAAAUGCCGGAGCUCAACUCCGUGCACGCCGGGGGAUACUGGAGGACUGGAGACGAGUAGAGGCAAGCGGAAUUCCGGGUGUAGCGGUGGAAUGCGUAGAGAUCCGGAAGAACACCGGAGGCGAAGGCGGCUUGCUGGGCUUGGUCUGACGCUGAGGCGCGAAAGCGUGGGGAGCGAACAGGAUUAGAUACCCUGGUAGUCCACGCCGUAAACGAUGGGCACUAGACGCGGGUGGGAUCGACCCCUUCUGUGUCGCAGCUAACGCGCUAAGUGCCCCGCCUGGGGAGUACGGCCGCAAGGCUG